This 279-nucleotide ribosomal RNA is filed under the name uncultured bacterium. RNAcentral describes it as "partial 16S ribosomal RNA". It matches the Rfam family "Bacterial small subunit ribosomal RNA", at positions 506 to 784 of the family's 1533-position model. The record is from RNAcentral.
UGCCAGCAGCCGCGGUAAUACGAAGGGACCUAGCGUAGUUCGGAAUUACUGGGCGUAAAGCGCACGUAGGCGGAUUGGAAAGUAGGGGGUGAAAUCCCAGGGCUCAACCCUGGAACUGCCUCCUAAACUAUCAGUCUAGAGUUCGAGAGAGGUGAGUGGAAUUCCAAGUGUAGAGGUGAAAUUCGUAGAUAUUUGGAGGAACACCAGUGGCGAAGGCGGCUCACUGGCUCGAUACUGACGCUGAGAUGCGAAGGCAUGGGUAGCAAACGGGAUUAGAUA